ACAGGAGCCCAGCACAGGAAUCCCAGGUGUCCCCAGCCCCUUCUUCUCAGGACAAGACACAGGCCACUCACCAUGGAGUUUGGGCUCAGCUGGGUUUUCCUAGUUGCAGUUUUAAGAGGUGUCCAGUGUGAUGUGCAGCUGGUGGAGUCUGGGGGAGGCUUAGUGCAGCCUGGGGGGUCUCUGAGACUCUCCUGUGUAGCUUCUGGAUUCACCUUUAGUAGCUACAACAUGCACUGGGUCCGUCAGCCUCCAGGGAAGGGGCUGGAGUGGGUCUCACUCAUUAGUUAUAAUGGUGGCAAUGCAUACUACGCCAACUCUGUGAAGGGUCGAUUCACCACCUCAAGAGACAAUGGCAAAAGCAUGCUAUACCUGCAAAUGAACAGCCUGAAAACUGAGGACACAGCCGUUUAUUACUGUGCAAGAGAUGCACAGUGA
This is a non-coding RNA of Phyllostomus hastatus (greater spear-nosed bat), 435 nucleotides long. The record is from the annotation of a RefSeq genome assembly. NCBI's taxonomy places the organism in Eukaryota, Metazoa, Chordata, Mammalia, Chiroptera, Phyllostomidae.